Molecule: long non-coding RNA, 647 nt
Filed under: Manihot esculenta (cassava)
Lineage: Eukaryota; Viridiplantae; Streptophyta; Magnoliopsida; Malpighiales; Euphorbiaceae
Description: long non-coding RNA (MESC_LNC003320)
Source: RNAcentral
UAAAUAAAAACAAUUUAAAACAUAUGAUAACAUGAAAUGCAUCACAUCACAGCUAAUCACAUCAAGGAUGAAUUUGUCACCUAUAGUCCCCUACAUGGACCAACUGUGCCAGGGGCGUAGAAUGGGCCUCACUGGUCUUUCUCUUACAUAACAUAGCAUAACAUGGUCCAACUGUGCCAGGGGCGUAGAAUGGGCCUCACUGGUCUUUCUCUUACCGUAUCAUCAUCAUCAUCAUCAUCAUGUAUAUCAUCAUCAUCAUCAUAACAUAGGGGGACUAAAGGAUCAUCCAACAUUCAUCCACAUCAUCAAACAUAUUAUGCAAAUGCAACAUAUUCGUGAAUCUAAUGCAAACACCCUAUUAUAUCAUGGCAUUCAUGAUGCAUGAAUCAUGCUAAAACUGAUUUCUUUAUUUAAAAUAUAAGGGUUAUUCCACUCACCUUUGCUGAAGCUCUACUGACUCAGAAGCAGCUGAACCUACUGCUGGGGUCCUCGGUUCCUCUGGUCCGAACCUACACAGGCGGACUCAAAUGAGGGACCAAACAUACAUAUACAUAACUCUGAUAUAUCCCCCAAAUAUCCCCUCAAACAUCAUGAAAACUUCACAUAAAGAUAUGCAUGAAAUGGCUGAACAGGGCACUUUCGGCGGC